UGGGGAAUUUUACGCAAUGGGGGAAACCCUGACGUAGCGACACCGCGUGAGCGAAGAAGCCUUUUGGGGUGUAAAGCUCUGUCAGCUGGAACGAACACAAUGACGGUACCAGCAGAGGAAGCAUCGGCUAACUACGUGCCAGCAGCCGCGGUAAGACGUAGGAUGCAAGCGUUGUCCGGAUUCAUUGGGCGUAAAGAGUUCGUAGGUGGUCUGUUAAGUUUGGUGUUAAAGAGCGGGGCCCAACCCCGAUAGUGCACUGAAUACUGGCAGACUUGAGUGCGGUAGAGGUAAGUGGAAUUCCAAGUGUAGCGGUGAAAUGCAUAGAUAUUUGGAAGAACACCGGUGGCGUAAGCGACUUACUGGGCCGUAACUGACACUGAGGAACGAAAGCCGGGGUAGCGAAUG
This 405-nucleotide ribosomal RNA is filed under the name uncultured bacterium. Its description in RNAcentral is "bacterial SSU rRNA". It matches the Rfam family "Bacterial small subunit ribosomal RNA", at positions 355 to 774 of the family's 1533-position model. The record is from RNAcentral.